GACGAACGCUGGCGGCGUGCUUAACACAUGCAAGUCGAACGGAAAGGCCCUGCUUUUGUGGGGUGCUCGAGUGGCGAACGGGUGAGUAACACGUGUGUAACCUGCCCUUGACUUUGGGAUAACUUCAGGAAACUGGGGCUAAUACCGGAUAGGAGCUCCUGCUGCAUGGUGGGGGUUGGAAAGUUUCGGCGGUUGGGGAUGGACUCGCGGCUUAUCAGCUUGUUGGUGGGGUAGUGGCUUACCAAGGCUUUGACGGGUAGCCGGCCUGAGAGGGUGACCGGCCACAUUGGGACUGAGAUACGGCCCAGACUGCUACGGGAGGCAGCAGUGGGGAAUAUUGCACAAUGGGCGGAAGCCUGAUGCAGCAACGCCGCGUGCGGGAUGACGGCCUUCGGGUUGUAAACCGAUUUCGCCUGUGACGAAGCGUGAGUGACGGUAAUGGGUAAAGAAGCACCGGCUAACUACGUG
RNAcentral lists this ribosomal RNA (468 nucleotides) under uncultured bacterium. Its description in RNAcentral is "partial 16S ribosomal RNA". It matches the Rfam family "Bacterial small subunit ribosomal RNA", at positions 28 to 507 of the family's 1533-position model. The record is from RNAcentral.